GACGAACGCUGGCGGCGUGCUUAACACAUGCAAGUCGAACGGAAAGGCGCUGCCUUUUUGGGGUGCUCGAGUGCCGAACGGGGGAGUAAGACGUGAAUCUCCUUCCCUUGAUUGUGUAACACCUCCAGGGAAGUGCGGCUACUACAGAAUAGGAGCGCCUGCUGCGGGGCGGGGGUCGGAGAGUUUCGGCGGUUGCGGACGGACGCGCGGCUUUGGGGCUUGGUGGUGGGGUAGGGGCGUACGAGGGACGUGAUGGGUAGCCGGCCUGGGAGGGUGACCGGCCACAUUGGGCCUGAGAUAGGGCCCAGACUGCUACGGGAGGCAGCAGUGGGGAAUAUUGCAAAAUGGGCGGAAGCCGGAUGCAGCAACGCCGCGUGCGGGAGGACGGCCUUCGGGUUGUAAUCCGCUUGCGCCUGUGACGAAGCGGGAGUGACGGUAACGGGUAAAGAAGCACCGGCUAACUACGUG
This 468-nucleotide ribosomal RNA is filed under the name uncultured bacterium. RNAcentral describes it as "partial 16S ribosomal RNA". It matches the Rfam family "Bacterial small subunit ribosomal RNA", at positions 28 to 507 of the family's 1533-position model. The record is from RNAcentral.